AUUAAGACCCUGGAGAUUGAAAUGCUAUGUUUAUCCACAGGGCAGGUUAAGCACUGCCAACAGUUGUGCAACUUUUCCCAAACAAUGUUCCUCAACCAUGACUUGAAAGGAGCACAAUUAGGGGUGGGAGAAUAGUUUAAUCUCCAUGCCCAUUCAAUCCUUGACUUCU
This 169-nucleotide small RNA is filed under the name Crocodylus porosus (Australian saltwater crocodile). RNAcentral's name for it is "TUC338 (ENSCPRG00005004656.1)". The record is from RNAcentral. Lineage: Eukaryota; Metazoa; Chordata; Crocodylia; Crocodylidae.